GCAGAGAUGGUCGAGUUGGUUUAAGGCACCGGUCUUGAAAACCGGCGAAGGUAACACUUCCCUGGGUUCGAAUCCCAGUCUCUGCG
RNAcentral lists this transfer RNA (86 nucleotides) under Cellulosilyticum sp. RNAcentral's name for it is "tRNA-Ser". It matches the Rfam family "tRNA". Rfam says of the family: Transfer RNA (tRNA) molecules are approximately 80 nucleotides in length. Their secondary structure includes four short double-helical elements and three loops (D, anti-codon, and T loops). Lineage: Bacteria; Bacillati; Bacillota; Clostridia; Lachnospirales; Cellulosilyticaceae. The record is from RNAcentral.